UACGUAGGGUGCAAGCGUUAAUCGGAAUUACUGGGCGUAAAGCGUGCGCAGGCGGUGAUGUAAGACAGUUGUGAAAUCCCCGGGCUCAACCUAGGAACUGCAUCUGUGACUGCAUCGCUGGAGUGCGGCAGAGGGGGAUGGAAUUCCGCGUGUAGCAGUGAAAUGCGUAGAUAUGCGGAGGAACACCGAUGGCGAAGGCAAUCCCCUGGGCCUGCACUGACGCUCAUGCACGAAAGCGUGGGGAGCAAACAGG
This 253-nucleotide ribosomal RNA is filed under the name uncultured bacterium. RNAcentral's name for it is "partial 16S ribosomal RNA". It matches the Rfam family "Bacterial small subunit ribosomal RNA", at positions 524 to 776 of the family's 1533-position model. The record is from RNAcentral.